Long non-coding RNA from Amphiprion ocellaris (clown anemonefish), 626 nucleotides. The record is from Ensembl. Lineage: Eukaryota; Metazoa; Chordata; Actinopteri; Pomacentridae.
CGUCAUUCUGAUCCAGAAAAUUGAUCUAGACACCAGUCAGUUAGCCCAGGCCAAGCUUCACAAUAAUGUGUUUGUUUGUCUCCACACACCUGGGUCACCUGCCUCUCAGACUCCCUCACCUGACCCUGAUGUGUCAUCUAAGGCAGCUUUCAGUGAUGGAUUACCAGAAACCUCUGACCAUAGGGGGGUCUCAACCUCGGGUGGCCUGAAGGUGAAGCCCCUGGACAUGAGGCUUCCCAUCAUGGUAGGAGGAAUGGGUUGGACUAUGUGAAACAGCUCCUGGGUGUUAUUUGUGGUGAAAGAAAGCAACUGUGUUUCUGCCUUGUUCAACCGAUCCCCGGCUUCUCCCCGUUGCUACCCUGCUGCAGCUCCUGUCAAUGUCAGGCUGUCAGGAGGAGGUAGGAAUCGGCCGACGGGCUCCUCUCGGCUCGCCCGGCCCAGCCAUGCGUCUGCCAUCAUUCUGGCUGUUGCGGCAGCUGAUUGGUGCUCCUGUGUCGGGCCCUGCUGUAGAUCUGUGGUCGAAUCUUUUCAAGGAGUCUGGGUCCUCCACGCAUUUACUGUUUCAGCGGUGCAUAGAAAGGAAAGCUGCAGAUGGAUGAAUGAUUGGACCCUACACUCUUCCAUUA